GGUUAAUCGAUGCAGCGCGAAGAACCUUACCUGGGCUUGACAUCCCGGGAAUCCCCCUGGGAAACAGGGGAGUGCCCUUCGGGAACCCGGUGACAGGUGCUGCAUGGCUGUCGUCAGCUCGUGUCGUGAGAUGUUGGGUUAAGUCCCGCAACGAGCGCAACCCUUGUCUUUAAUUGCCAUCAUUUAGUUGGGCACUUUAAAGAGACUGCCGGUGUUAAGCCGGAGGAAGUGGGGAUGACGUCAAGUCCUCAUGGCCUUUAUGCCCAGGGCUACACACGUGCUACAAUGGGCGGUACAAAGAGAAGCAACCUCGCGAGGGUGAGCAAAUCUCAAAAAAGCCGUUCUCAGUUCGGAUUGAAGUCUGCAACUCGACUUCAUGAAGUCGGAAUCGCUAGUAAUCGCGGAUCAGCAUGCCGCGGUCGAAUACGUUCCCGGGCCUU
This 440-nucleotide ribosomal RNA is filed under the name uncultured Syntrophaceae bacterium. RNAcentral's name for it is "bacterial SSU rRNA". It matches the Rfam family "Bacterial small subunit ribosomal RNA", at positions 943 to 1382 of the family's 1533-position model. Lineage: Bacteria; Pseudomonadati; Thermodesulfobacteriota; Syntrophia; Syntrophales; Syntrophaceae. The record is from RNAcentral.